UGCAGAGGGUGCGAGCGUUAAUCGGAAUUACUGGGCGUAAAGCGCACGUAGGUGGCGACGUAAGUCGGGUGUGAAAGCCCCGGGCUCAACCUGGGAAUUGCAUUCGAAACUGCAGAGCUGGAGUCCUGGAGAGGAAGGCGGAAUUCUCGGUGUAGAGGUGAAAUUCGUAGAUAUAGGGAGGAACACCGGUGGCGAAGGCGGCGACCUGGGUCGACACUGACGCUGAGGCGCGAAAGCGUGGGGAGCAAACAGG
This 253-nucleotide ribosomal RNA is filed under the name uncultured bacterium. RNAcentral's name for it is "partial 16S ribosomal RNA". It matches the Rfam family "Bacterial small subunit ribosomal RNA", at positions 524 to 776 of the family's 1533-position model. The record is from RNAcentral.